This 267-nucleotide unclassified non-coding RNA is filed under the name Hevea brasiliensis (rubber tree). The record is from RNAcentral. Lineage: Eukaryota; Viridiplantae; Streptophyta; Magnoliopsida; Malpighiales; Euphorbiaceae.
AAGACUCUUAGAAAAAAUUGAAGAAACAAUGCAAACAGAAAAGCUAUGUUACUCCGACUCGGUAUGGGUGUCAGAAAUAGGUACAUAUCUGUGUGUCAGACUUAUGAACUUUCCAAAUAGAAAAUACAGUAAGGAUCUAAAUUUGGACAUGGGUGCUUGGAUACACUAAAUAGGGUAAAAGGGUUGAAGUAAUUUCUCCAAAAGGGGGCAGCCACAAUUAAUUGUCAUCCGCAACCAUUCGACUCUUGAAAUAUUCAAUAUUUUUUU